UCACAGGCCAUCUUGAUAAUGCAGUUAUAGCAGUUGGUUCCCUUUCUAUUUGCGUGAACAUUAACGGAUUUGAACUAAUGUUGUUCAUUGGAAUAAAUGUGGCAAUAAGUGUGCGUGUCUCCAGUGAGCUUGGAUCAGGACGACCAAGAGCAGCCAAAUACUCUGUCUAUGUGACAGUAUUUCAGUGUCUUCUAA
Long non-coding RNA from Prunus persica (peach), 195 nucleotides. RefSeq lists it as uncharacterized. The transcript has 3 exons. The record is from RefSeq and is a predicted model, not a curated record. Lineage: Eukaryota; Viridiplantae; Streptophyta; Magnoliopsida; Rosales; Rosaceae.